GCGUCGCCACUGAAAGCUCCCGGCUCAACCGGGUGAGGUGUGGCGAUACGUCCGAACGCGAGGCAGGGAGAGGUGUGCGGAAUUCCGGGUGUAGUGGUGAAAUGCGUAGAUACCCGGAGGAACGCCGGUGGCGCAAGCGGCGCACUGGCCCUGACCUGACGCUGAGGCACGAAAGCGUGGGGAGCGAACCGGAUUAGAUACCCGGGUAGUCCACGCAGUAAACGAUGUCGGCUCGGUGUGCAGCGGUGAACCUCACCGCCGCGUGCCCAAGCAUACGCGGUAAGCCGACCGCCUGGGGACUACGAGCGCAAGCUUAAAACUCAAAGGAAUUGACGGGGGCCCGCACAAGCAGCGGAGCGUGUGGUUUAAUUCGAUGCAACGCGAAGAACCUUACCCAGGUUUGACAUGCAGCUGCAAGCGCACAGAAAUGUGUGACCUUCGAGGGUGCUGCACAGGUGCUGCAUGGCUGUCGUCAGCUCGUGUCGUGAGAUGUUGGGUUAAGUCCCGCAACGAGCGCAACCCUUGCCGUCAGUUACAAGUGUCUGGCGGGACUGCCCUCUAUUCGAGGGAGGAAGGCGGGGAUGACGUCAAGUCAGCAUGGCCCUUACGCCUGGGGCGACACACACGCUACAAUGUCGGCGACAAUGCGUCGCGACCGCGCAAGCGGCAGCUAAUCGCCAAACGCCGACCCAGUGCAGAUCGGGGGCUCAACUCGCCCCCGUGAAGGCGGAGUUGCUAGUAACCGCGUAUCAGCCAUGGCGCGGUGAAUACGUACCCGGGCAUUGUACACACCGCCCGUCACGUCAUGGGAGUUGUAAUGCAUGAAGUCCGUGGGUAACCGUAAGGACCAGCGGCCGAGG
Molecule: ribosomal RNA, 860 nt
Filed under: uncultured organism
Description: bacterial SSU rRNA
Rfam family: Bacterial small subunit ribosomal RNA
Source: RNAcentral